This 497-nucleotide ribosomal RNA is filed under the name uncultured bacterium. RNAcentral describes it as "partial 16S ribosomal RNA". It matches the Rfam family "Bacterial small subunit ribosomal RNA", at positions 28 to 507 of the family's 1533-position model. The record is from RNAcentral.
GAUGAACGCUGGCGGCGUGCCUAAUACAUGCAAGUAGAACGCUGAAGGUAGGAGCUUGCUCUUUCCGGAUGAGUUGCGAACGGGUGAGUAACGCGUAGGUAACCUGCCUGGUAGCGGGGGAUAACUAUUGGAAACGAUAGCUAAUACCGCAUAACAGUAGAUGUUGCAUGAUAUCUACUUAAAAGGUGCAAUUGCACCACUACCAGAUGGACCUGCGUUGUAUUAGCUAGUUGGUGAGGUAACGGCUCACCAAGGCGACGAUACAUAGCCGACCUGAGAGGGUGAUCGGCCACACUGGGACUGAGACACGGCCCAGACUCCUACGGGAGGCAGCAGUAGGGAAUCUUCGGCAAUGGACGGAAGUCUGACCGAGCAACGCCGCGUGAGUGAAGAAGGUUGUCGGAUCGUAAAGCUCUGUUGUAAGAGAAGAACGAGUGUGAGAGUGGAAAGUUCACACUGUGACGGUAUCUUACCAGAAAGGGACGGCUAACUACGUG